GUAAUUCUAAAAUAUAGUUGCUCCUACUUGGCGAUGAAACCCCAUUGGCCAUCCUUCGUAACCAUUCUGAGCAGCCAAGAGGUACCAAUGCUGUAAAAUGCAAAAGACCAAACUUUUUCCAAGUCUGCUUUUUACAAGAGAAGUGGCUAGCUGACUGACCUGCUCUGAAUAACCCUAGCAACCAGAGACCUACCACCCAUCAAUGUAAUCUGUCUUGUUCCCUGUCAUGUGGAGUUGGGUCCAGCCAGAUUAAAUUUAGCCUCUGGAGGCCACUUGAACUCUGGUCAGUGGUACAGACACAGAAUACUAUAAGUGAGUGAGCUCCAUACAUCAGCUUUCUGGAAAGGGCACCAGCAGCUGAAGAGAGAGAAGGAAAACGGGAGGACCUGUAGAGGUGAGAGCUGGGCUGCAAAACACACUGUGAUUCAGGCAGAAGUCACGGAAGCUGCUCUGAGUCACUUACCACAGCUUCCUCCUUUGACAGCACUAUGCCCUUUCACCUGGGUACACACUGCUAACCACAGACCCUGGGCUUCAUGGAACAGUGUGGUUUUCAGAGGGCCUUCUCUGGGUUGUGUUUGAACUCUACAUCACCCUGGAAGAUAGGGAGGCUGCACAGACAUCGCUAGUCCUGGUUUUACAACUGUGUUGGUGCUUGCCUGUCCAAAAGCCCUUCACUGUAAAGGCCCUACACAGCUAAUACCUGAAGAAUUCAGGAUAGCUGCUGACCUUGCUGCAAAUAUGGGCUGUCUCCUUGUGCUUCGUGAUAAAGCUCUACUGGUGACUGUUUCUGUCUGUGUGGGCAAUGUUCUACAUCACUACUAGUUACAUCCUCUUCAGAGCUACCUGGAAACCACUUUCAGGGCAAACACCACGCAGCCUAUGAAAUCCUUCACCAAUCUGCUCCACCCCACCUGAAACAUGAGUUACCUUUUGUCCAGUAUUUGUCCUCCCAUGUAUAUGCUGCCCACGUACAAGUCACUUAGUAGCCAACUCAGACAGUAGACUGGCUAUCACUGAAUCACAAUACUUGUUUAGCCCUCAUCCAGUGGCUGAUGGAAGCAGAGACAGACAUCCACAGAAAUACACUGAGCUGAAAUCUGGAAUUUAGUUGAAGAGAGGGAAGAAUGAAGAACGAAGGGGUCUGUACCAGGUUGGAGAAACCCACAGAAACAGUUGGCCUGAACAAGGGAGAGCACAUCGACCCCAGAUGCUAUCUGGGAGGCCAGAACAAGACUGAUCCAGACCCCUGAACAAGGAUGCCAAUAAGGAGG
RNAcentral lists this long non-coding RNA (1274 nucleotides) under Cricetulus griseus (Chinese hamster). Its description in RNAcentral is "lncRNA (ENSCGRG00015036806.1)". The record is from RNAcentral. Lineage: Eukaryota; Metazoa; Chordata; Mammalia; Rodentia; Cricetidae.